UCGCUUAUGGGAAAGCUCUUUGAAACCCCCGUAAUAACAUAACCCAGAAAAAGCCGUGUGCCGUGCACCAGCGGGUGCAGUACCUCCAAGGGGCCGGUAAAGCAAGGCCAGCUGGCAAUGGGGAAGCAGCAGAUCCUGCAGCAAAUGCUCCCCCUUCUGUACACUGCCGGCUAAGCCGGCGGUACACGGGCUUGUUCACUGCGAUGCCGACGGAUGACAGCAGAGGCUGUCUUGCAGCAGGUUCAGGCACUUGAUGAAGGGAGUGUAGCCAGCACAGGACAUUACCUGAUUGAACCAAACUGUGAAGUUAUUUUGGGUACUGGAUUAAACGGACGUGGAAAGUCGAAGGAACAGAAGCAAAAGAGCUAAGUGCAAAGCCUCACCUCUGAGUGUUUUAUGGAAGCCGUGCACGUACAACUGCAGCCUGGGGUUUGCCAUGGGCCCACAGCUCCUUCCUGGCAGCAACAGCAGCACUGGCACUGGAGAAAAACCAAGUUGCAGCGUGGCGAGUCCCAGCGCACCUGCUGGCGGGCCUGUCUCAAAGCCCUGGCGUCCUCUGUGAAGGAGUGUGAGGAAUGACUGAAGUGUUAAAUAAGGACAUCAGUAAGCGUGGCCGUUCCCUGCAGGCUGCUGGGAGCCGCGUGGAGAAGAAGGCAGCGCUGUCUUUUGUGAAAUGGCACAAAGAAAAUAAACAUAACUGCAAUGCAACUUCCGGCAAAUAUUUUUAUAUCUUUAUCUUUAGCUAGAUCGCAGCUCGUGAUGUCCUGCUGCUGCCAUUUAUGCUCUGAAUGUAUGAUACUUAAAUCUUUGACAUUUGGGACAGCUUUUCCUGAGUGUAUACGUAUGAGGAGGUGGUGGGGUCGUUUUGUUCUGGGGUGUUGCUUUCCUUCCUCCCCCUCCACCCUAGCUCUGGUUUAUCUCAAGUCAGAAAUAGUUUUCCUAAAUGCCAGGCCUGAAAACUUGUCCUGGGCUCCGGUGGUCACUCUUCCACAUUUCUUCUUCCCUCUUCCUGUGUCAUUACCUCCCUAAAGAUUAUGUUGCCCCAAAGGCAGCCCUCUUGCAGGGCAGCAUCCCUGGGAUGCCAGCUGGCUGUGCUGGGCAGCAUGUAGCCAACACAAUCAUUUUGGAAUACAUGGUCAAAUAAAUCAUGGUAUGAGGAACACCCGGCUAUGUGUAACCUAGGAAUGCUAGAUUACAGAAGCAGACUUCGUUUUGUUUCCCUUGAUUAUGCACCCUUUCAUUAAAUUGGGAGGUGGAAAGAAAUGGCUGUUUGUUUGAGGAUACCUUGCUUUGCCAUCUCUGGGCGGCUGAUGACUUUUUCCUUGCAGAGGAAAGCUCCUUGUCCCUCCUGCUCCUUUUUCCAAGCAAACACUAAGGCAGCAUCUUCUUGGUGCUGUGCUCUUUUUCUUGGUUCUUGCUUGUCUUCAGUCUGUAUAAAUGCACUGGCUGGUCUUGUUUGGCUCUGUUUCCAAGGGCAGUGUGACUGCUGCUUAUUGGCACAUGCUCUCAGUUUGUUGCAAUUUUGGCAAGAUUUAACUGCAUGGUCUGAACAGUUUUGUGCCAGGCAGGACUAAAGCUGAGUAUUUUUAGGAAAGAAUCAGUAUUUAAGGAAAGUAUCAUUUCUAUGGGCAGGGAAGAGGAGCAAAGCCUAUUAUUUGCGGUAUCUCUGCAAAGCAAGGUCCCCUCAUCUGGAGGGAUGAGAGCUUCUGGCAGGGAUGUGGCCUGCUGAAUGUCUGCUCUGUUUUGGACAGGUUUGGCUCAACUGAAGCAGCAAUUGUGGUAGCAGUCGGGGCAACAAGACCUCCUCUUAUAGCAAUGACGUUAGGACAGUAACAUCUCCCAUGUACUACGCUUCAGUCUCAAAGUCACUGCAAUGUCUUGAAUGCACGGAGAAGCAUAAGAGAGUAAUGAGGCUAAAUUAUGCCAGGAUCUGUGACAGGCAGAAAUAACUCCGAACAAUAUAACCACGCUCAAUUUGGA
Phasianus colchicus (ring-necked pheasant) is the source of this 1980-nucleotide long non-coding RNA. RefSeq lists it as uncharacterized. Lineage: Eukaryota; Metazoa; Chordata; Aves; Galliformes; Phasianidae. The record is from RefSeq and is a predicted model, not a curated record.